CUUUCCCUGCGUUGUACGUGCUUAGAAGCAAAUCCUUGAACCGUAAUUAUAUGUAGGAAGGGACUCUGGCCGCGGACGUUGAUGUGCAAGCCUGCCUUGAGUAGGAAACACGUGACCCGUCGGACCUGUCCCAUUGUUUCUCGUUCCGUUCAAAGGAACUGUUCACACGGCAAUUGCGGGGUUUUU
This 186-nucleotide non-coding RNA is filed under the name Treponema sp. RNAcentral describes it as "6S RNA". It matches the Rfam family "6S / SsrS RNA". Rfam says of the family: E. coli 6S RNA was the first non coding RNA to be sequenced, but its function was unknown until recently. It consists of 184 nucleotides that fold into an extended hairpin structure with a large single-stranded internal bulge. The 6S RNA specifically associates with RNA polymerase holoenzyme containing the sigma70 specificity factor. The record is from RNAcentral. RNAcentral also lists the same sequence under 1 other name. Lineage: Bacteria; Pseudomonadati; Spirochaetota; Spirochaetia; Treponematales; Treponemataceae.